Molecule: ribosomal RNA, 2921 nt
Filed under: Staphylococcus aureus
Lineage: Bacteria; Bacillati; Bacillota; Bacilli; Caryophanales; Staphylococcaceae
Description: 23S ribosomal RNA
Rfam family: Bacterial large subunit ribosomal RNA
Source: RNAcentral
UUAAGUUAUUAAGGGCGCACGGUGGAUGCCUUGGCACUAGAAGCCGAUGAAGGACGUUACUAACGACGAUAUGCUUUGGGGAGCUGUAAGUAAGCUUUGAUCCAGAGAUUUCCGAAUGGGGAAACCCAGCAUGAGUUAUGUCAUGUUAUCGAUAUGUGAAUACAUAGCAUAUCAGAAGGCACACCCGGAGAACUGAAACAUCUUAGUACCCGGAGGAAGAGAAAGAAAAUUCGAUUCCCUUAGUAGCGGCGAGCGAAACGGGAAGAGCCCAAACCAACAAGCUUGCUUGUUGGGGUUGUAGGACACUCUGUACGGAGUUACAAAGGACGACAUUAGACGAAUCAUCUGGAAAGAUGAAUCAAAGAAGGUAAUAAUCCUGUAGUCGAAAAUGUUGUCUCUCUUGAGUGGAUCCUGAGUACGACGGAGCACGUGAAAUUCCGUCGGAAUCUGGGAGGACCAUCUCCUAAGGCUAAAUACUCUCUAGUGACCGAUAGUGAACCAGUACCGUGAGGGAAAGAUGAAAAGCACCCCGGAAGGGGAGUGAAAUAGAACCUGAAACCGUGUGCUUACAAGUAGUCAGAGCCCGUUAAUGGGUGAUGGCGUGCCUUUUGUAGAAUGAACCGGCGAGUUACGAUUUGAUGCAAGGUUAAGCAGUAAAUGUGGAGCCGUAGCGAAAGCGAGUCUGAAUAGGGCGUUUAGUAUUUGGUCGUAGACCCGAAACCAGGUGAUCUACCCUUGGUCAGGUUGAAGUUCAGGUAACACUGAAUGGAGGACCGAACCGACUUACGUUGAAAAGUGAGCGGAUGAACUGAGGGUAGCGGAGAAAUUCCAAUCGAACCUGGAGAUAGCUGGUUCUCUCCGAAAUAGCUUUAGGGCUAGCCUCAAGUGAUGAUUAUUGGAGGUAGAGCACUGUUUGGACGAGGGGCCCCUCUCGGGUUACCGAAUUCAGACAAACUCCGAAUGCCAAUUAAUUUAACUUGGGAGUCAGAACAUGGGUGAUAAGGUCCGUGUUCGAAAGGGAAACAGCCCAGACCACCAGCUAAGGUCCCAAAAUAUAUGUUAAGUGGAAAAGGAUGUGGCGUUGCCCAGACAACUAGGAUGUUGGCUUAGAAGCAGCCAUCAUUUAAAGAGUGCGUAAUAGCUCACUAGUCGAGUGACACUGCGCCGAAAAUGUACCGGGGCUAAACAUAUUACCGAAGCUGUGGAUUGUCCUUUGGACAAUGGUAGGAGAGCGUUCUAAGGGCGUUGAAGCAUGAUCGUAAGGACAUGUGGAGCGCUUAGAAGUGAGAAUGCCGGUGUGAGUAGCGAAAGACGGGUGAGAAUCCCGUCCACCGAUUGACUAAGGUUUCCAGAGGAAGGCUCGUCCGCUCUGGGUUAGUCGGGUCCUAAGCUGAGGCCGACAGGCGUAGGCGAUGGAUAACAGGUUGAUAUUCCUGUACCACCUAUAAUCGUUUUAAUCGAUGGGGGGACGCAGUAGGAUAGGCGAAGCGUGCGAUUGGAUUGCACGUCUAAGCAGUAAGGCUGAGUAUUAGGCAAAUCCGGUACUCGUUAAGGCUGAGCUGUGAUGGGGAGAAGACAUUGNGUCUUCGAGUCGUUGAUUUCACACUGCCGAGAAAAGCCUCUAGAUAGAAAAUAGGUGCCCGUACCGCAAACCGACACAGGUAGUCAAGAUGAGAAUUCUAAGGUGAGCGAGCGAACUCUCGUUAAGGAACUCGGCAAAAUGACCCCGUAACUUCGGGAGAAGGGGUGCUCUUUAGGGUUAACGCCCAGAAGAGCCGCAGUGAAUAGGCCCAAGCGACUGUUUAUCAAAAACACAGGUCUCUGCUAAACCGUAAGGUGAUGUAUAGGGGCUGACGCCUGCCCGGUGCUGGAAGGUUAAGAGGAGUGGUUAGCUUCUGCGAAGCUACGAAUCGAAGCCCCAGUAAACGGCGGCCGUAACUAUAACGGUCCUAAGGUAGCGAAAUUCCUUGUCGGGUAAGUUCCGACCCGCACGAAAGGCGUAACGAUUUGGGCACUGUCUCAACGAGAGACUCGGUGAAAUCAUAGUACCUGUGAAGAUGCAGGUUACCCGCGACAGGACGGAAAGACCCCGUGGAGCUUUACUGUAGCCUGAUAUUGAAAUUCGGCACAGCUUGUACAGGAUAGGUAGGAGCCUUUGAAACGUGAGCGCUAGCUUACGUGGAGGCGCUGGUGGGAUACUACCCUAGCUGUGUUGGCUUUCUAACCCGCACCACUUAUCGUGGUGGGAGACAGUGUCAGGCGGGCAGUUUGACUGGGGCGGUCGCCUCCUAAAAGGUAACGGAGGCGCUCAAAGGUUCCCUCAGAAUGGUUGGAAAUCAUUCAUAGAGUGUAAAGGCAUAAGGGAGCUUGACUGCGAGACCUACAAGUCGAGCAGGGUCGAAAGACGGACUUAGUGAUCCGGUGGUUCCGCAUGGAAGGGCCAUCGCUCAACGGAUAAAAGCUACCCCGGGGAUAACAGGCUUAUCUCCCCCAAGAGUUCACAUCGACGGGGAGGUUUGGCACCUCGAUGUCGGCUCAUCGCAUCCUGGGGCUGUAGUCGGUCCCAAGGGUUGGGCUGUUCGCCCAUUAAAGCGGUACGCGAGCUGGGUUCAGAACGUCGUGAGACAGUUCGGUCCCUAUCCGUCGUGGGCGUAGGAAAUUUGAGAGGAGCUGUCCUUAGUACGAGAGGACCGGGAUGGACAUACCUCUGGUGUACCAGUUGUCGUGCCAACGGCAUAGCUGGGUAGCUAUGUGUGGACGGGAUAAGUGCUGAAAGCAUCUAAGCAUGAAGCCCCCCUCAAGAUGAGAUUUCCCAACUUCGGUUAUAAGAUCCCUCAAAGAUGAUGAGGUUAAUAGGUUCGAGGUGGAAGCAUGGUGACAUGUGGAGCUGACGAAUACUAAUCGAUCGAAGACUUAAUCAA